UUUGCCUCCCAUUUCAUUGCAUUCAUUACAAGCUUCCUUAUACCAAUUUCCGUAUUCAACAUCGAAACCACAUUUCACAGCCUUCUCCACCAAACUUUUCCCCUUUUUUAUACCUUCUUUCAACCAAUCUAUCGUAACCAUCACUUCUAUGUUCAUUGUACAUUCCACCUUUUCCAUGUUCCGAAUCGCCGCCGACGAUUCGAAUCCAUAAUUCGCUCUCCGAAGCUUUCCCCAUUUCCCACUGCACCAAAAUUUGUACCUCUUCGGAAUUGGAAUGUAGUUUUCCCCCGAGCAAUUGUACCACACCGAUAUGUUUUGAUUGUUGGAAGCAUACGCGAACAGAUGCCCAUCCAUAGUCGCCACUCGGAUUUCAUUUUCUGGGCAGUAAUUCUCGAAUAGUUCAGUUUGAAUUCUUGCCGCCCGCAAGACUUCUGCUUCUUGUACCCCAGAAGGGAUACUUGAUGACUGAUGUUUACCAAUUCUCCACAAUUGUAACCCUCACCGCAAACUUCAAAUGCAUCUAGGGCGUCUUCGUUGAAACAUGGUGAAAGAUGAAUCGCGAUUAUGGUAUUUUAAUGAUGUUGGACUAUGCACGUGUACUAUAUGGUUUCCUGCUUGCCUUCAAAUCAUACCAGUUUGGAAUAGUCAAUUGUUAACUCAAAAAGGAAAAAAGAUAUCAAAUUUUGGGAGUCUUCAAACAGGGGAAAUUGUUGUUCUUAUGUUGCUUCUGCUGG
Non-coding RNA from Benincasa hispida (wax gourd), 734 nucleotides. The record is from RefSeq and is a predicted model, not a curated record. NCBI's taxonomy places the organism in Eukaryota, Viridiplantae, Streptophyta, Magnoliopsida, Cucurbitales, Cucurbitaceae.